This 780-nucleotide ribosomal RNA is filed under the name uncultured bacterium. RNAcentral's name for it is "bacterial SSU rRNA". It matches the Rfam family "Bacterial small subunit ribosomal RNA", at positions 553 to 1332 of the family's 1533-position model. The record is from RNAcentral.
ACUGGGCGUAUAGAGCUCGUAGGUGGUUUGUCGCGUUGUUCGUGAAAUCUCACGGCUUAACUGUGAGCGUGCGGGCGAUACGGGCAGACUUGAGUACCGCAGGGGAGACUGGAAUUCCUGGUGUAGCGGUGGAAUGCGCAGAUAUCAGGAGGAACACCGGUGGCGAAGGCGGGUCUCUGGGCAGUAACUGACGCUGAGGAGCGAAAGCGUGGGGAGCGAACAGGAUUAGAUACCCUGGUAGUCCACGCCGUAAACGGUGGGUACUAGGUGUGGGUUUCCUUCCUUGGGAUCCGUGCCGUAGCUAACGCAUUAAGUACCCCGCCUGGGGAGUACGGCCGCAAGGCUAGAACUCAAAGAAAUUGACGGGGGCCCGCACAAGCGGCGGAGCAUGUGGAUUAAUUCGAUGCAACGCGAAGAACCUUACCUGGGUUUGACAUGCACAGGACGCCGGCAGAGGCGUCGGUUCCCUUGUGGCCUGUGUGCAGGUGGUGCAUGGCUGUCGUCAGCUCGUGUCGUGAGAUGUUGGGUUAAGUCCCGCAACGAGCGCAACCCUUGUCUCAUGUUGCCAGCGGGUAAUGCCGGGGACUCGUGAGAGACUGCCGGGGUCAACUCGGAGGAAGGUGGGGAUGACGUCAAGUCAUCAUGCCCCUUAUGUCCAGGGCUUCACACAUGCUACAAUGGCCGGUACAAAGGGCUGCGAUGCCGCGAGGUUAAGCGAAUCCUUUUAAGCCGGUCUCAGUUCGGAUCGGGGUCUGCAACUCGACCCCGUGAAGUCGGAGU